RNAcentral lists this ribosomal RNA (404 nucleotides) under Elasmus sp. 1 ZLS-2005. Its description in RNAcentral is "eukaryotic LSU rRNA". The record is from RNAcentral. Lineage: Eukaryota; Metazoa; Arthropoda; Insecta; Hymenoptera; Eulophidae.
CCUGAGAAACCCAAAAGAUCGAAUGGGGAGAUUCAUCGUCAGCGGCUCUGGCUUCCGUGCGGUACGCGAUGGCGGGGACUUCGGUCUCGCGUCACGCUGCCGCUGCGGCACGUCCGGGGUCGUCGGCGUGCACUUCUCCCCUAGUAGGACGUCGCGACCCGUUGGGUGUCGGAUCGAUGGCCGGCCGGUCGUCUGGAGCGCUCGCGCGCCUCAGACCGGUUCGGUCGAAAGUCCGGCUGCCCGGCGGUAUUGAUGCUUAAAAAAAUCAGGUAUCGGGCCGCAUCGAAUGCGUUCAGGCUCGUCGGCAGGCUCGUCUCGCUCGGAUUUACGGACCUAGCGCCGUUGCCGGGCGCUUGGCGCGGCCGUUAGUCGACGAUGUCCUCGGACCGGCUCUUACCCGUCGG